Oncorhynchus mykiss (rainbow trout) is the source of this 385-nucleotide long non-coding RNA. RefSeq lists it as uncharacterized. NCBI's taxonomy places the organism in Eukaryota, Metazoa, Chordata, Actinopteri, Salmoniformes, Salmonidae. The record is from RefSeq and is a predicted model, not a curated record.
UUUAUCCUAAAUGCCAACACUCUCCGGUUUUCCAGUCACGUGUGAAGUGUUCAUUAGAGGUCACGUUAGGUGAGCGUUGAGGAAUACGAACAGUCCGUGAAGCUCGGAUCAUCAGACUUUAAAGUGUUAAUCCAGAAGCAGCGUCACCACAGAUUCUUCUUCAGGGAGUCUGCUGCUGUGGAGAGCUUAGGAAAUGCUGAACUCGUUGGCGGCUCAGUUUCAGUGGUCUUUUACCUGCAAGGCAAUUCCUGGUUAUACAUACAGCAUCUCUGUGGCGGCAGGCAUGGUCAGGCAGUGCUGUACCCAGAAUAGAGAGUGGCUGGAUGGAGGUGGGUCAUGUUCAGCACAAAACAGAGGAAAACGGACUUAAAUGGAGUGAAACGGG